UACGGAGGGUGCAAGCGUUAUCCGGAUUUACUGGGUUUAAAGGGUGCGUAGGUGGGUCUGUAAGUCAGUGGUGAAAUCUCCGGGCUUAACCCGGAAACUGCCAUUGAUACUAUAGGUCUUGAAUAUCCUGGAGGUGAGCGGAAUAUGUCAUGUAGCGGUGAAAUGCUUAGAUAUGACAUAGAACACCAAUUGCGAAGGCAGCUCACUACGGGAUUAUUGACACUUAGGCACGAAAGCGUGGGGAU
RNAcentral lists this ribosomal RNA (245 nucleotides) under uncultured Ferruginibacter sp. RNAcentral's name for it is "partial 16S ribosomal RNA". It matches the Rfam family "Bacterial small subunit ribosomal RNA", at positions 524 to 768 of the family's 1533-position model. Lineage: Bacteria; Pseudomonadati; Bacteroidota; Chitinophagia; Chitinophagales; Chitinophagaceae. The record is from RNAcentral.